GAUGAACGCUGACAGAAUGCUUAACACAUGCAAGUCCACUUGAACUUCGGUUUGGGUGGCGGACGGGUGAGUAACGCGUAAAGAACUUGCCUCACAGAUAGGGACAACAUUUGGAAACGAAUGCUAAUACCUGAUAUUAUGAUUAUAUGGCAUCGUAUAAUUAUGAAAGCUAUAUGCGCUGUGAGAGAGCUCUGCGUCCCAUUAGCUAGUUGGAGAGGUAACGGCUCACCAAGGCGAUGAUGGGUAGCCGGCCUGAGAGGGUGAUCGGCCACAAGGGGACUGAGACACGGCCCUUACUCCUACGGGAGGCAGCAGUGGGGAAUAUUGGACAAUGGACCAAGAGUCUGAUCCAGCAAUUCUGUGUGCACGAUGAAGUUUUUCGGAAUGUAAAGUGCUUUCAGUUGGGAAGAAAAAAAUGACGGUACCAACAGAAGAAGUGACGGCUAAAUACGUG
RNAcentral lists this ribosomal RNA (454 nucleotides) under uncultured bacterium. RNAcentral describes it as "partial 16S ribosomal RNA". It matches the Rfam family "Bacterial small subunit ribosomal RNA", at positions 28 to 507 of the family's 1533-position model. The record is from RNAcentral.